CACUAGGUCACGAAGCUGUCAAGGCUCAGAGAGAGAGAGAGAGAGAGAGGCCAAGUACAGUAUAGGUGGGAAUAGCCAUGGUGGUAAUAGCAUCCAAAAGAAUGGGCUUGAUGAUGCUUGUGGCGACUCUCAUACUGUGCUCGUCCAUUGGUGUCAACGCCGAUUCGCACAAACUUUUGUCGCGCAAGUGGAGAUGUGUAAUUUCAUGUGCCUUUUCACCUCC
Long non-coding RNA from Syzygium oleosum, 223 nucleotides. RefSeq lists it as uncharacterized. NCBI's taxonomy places the organism in Eukaryota, Viridiplantae, Streptophyta, Magnoliopsida, Myrtales, Myrtaceae. The transcript is spliced from 3 exons. The record is from RefSeq and is a predicted model, not a curated record.